Molecule: ribosomal RNA, 461 nt
Filed under: uncultured bacterium
Lineage: Bacteria
Description: bacterial SSU rRNA
Rfam family: Bacterial small subunit ribosomal RNA
Source: RNAcentral
ACUCCUACGGGAGGCAGCAGUGGGGAAUAUUGCACAAUGGGCGCAAGCCUGAUGCAGCCAUGCCGCGUGUAUGAAGAAGGCCUUCGGGUUGUAAAGUACUUUCAGCAGUGAGGAAGGUGGUGCAGUUAAUAGCUGUAUCAUUUGUACGUUAGCUGCAGAAGAAGCACCGGCUAACUCCGUGCCAGCAGCCGCGGUAAUACGGAGGGUGCGAGCGUUAAUCGGAAUUACUGGGCGUAAGCGCAUGCAGGUGGUUUGUUAAGUCAGAUGUGAAAGCCCGGGGCUCAACCUCGGAAUUGCAUUUGAAACUGGCAGACUAGAGUACUGGUAGAGGGGGUUAGAAUUUCAGGUGUAGCGGUGAAAUGCGUAGAGAUCUGAAGGAUACCGGUGCGAAGCGGCCCCUGGACAGAUACUGACACUCAGAUGCGAAAGCGUGGGAGCAAACGAGGAUUACGAUACCCCGU